AUUGAACGCUGGCGGCAGGCCUAACACAUGCAAGUCGAGCGGAUGAAGGGAGCUUGCUCCUGGAUUCAGCGGCGGACGGGUGAGUAAUGCCUAGGAAUCUGCCUGGUAGUGGGGGAUAACGUCCGGAAACGGGCGCUAAUACCGCAUACGUCCUGAGGGAGAAAGUGGGGGAUCUUCGGACCUCACGCUAUCAGAUGAGCCUAGGUCGGAUUAGCUAGUUGGUGGGGUAAAGGCCUACCAAGGCGACGAUCCGUAACUGGUCUGAGAGGAUGAUCAGUCACACUGGAAAUGAGACCCGGUCCAGACUCCUACGGGAGGCCGCAGUGGGGAAUAUUGGACCAUGGGCGAAAGCCUGAUCCAGCCAUGCCGCGUGUGUGAAGAAGGUCUUCGGAUUGUAAAACACUUUAAGUUGGGAGGAAGGGCAGUAAGUUAAUACCUUGCUGUUUUGACGUUACCAACAGAAUAAGCACCGGCUAACUUCGUG
This 484-nucleotide ribosomal RNA is filed under the name uncultured bacterium. Its description in RNAcentral is "partial 16S ribosomal RNA". It matches the Rfam family "Bacterial small subunit ribosomal RNA", at positions 30 to 507 of the family's 1533-position model. The record is from RNAcentral.